This 495-nucleotide ribosomal RNA is filed under the name uncultured bacterium. RNAcentral's name for it is "partial 16S ribosomal RNA". It matches the Rfam family "Bacterial small subunit ribosomal RNA", at positions 28 to 507 of the family's 1533-position model. The record is from RNAcentral.
GACGAACGCUGGCGGCGUGCCUAAUACAUGCAAGUAGAACGCUGAAGGAGGAGCUUGCUCUUCUGGAUGAGUUGCGAACGGGUGAGUAACGCGUAGGUAACCUGCCUGGUAGCGGGGGAUAACUAUUGGAAACGAUAGCUAAUACCGCAUAAGAGUAGAUGUUGCAUGACAUUUACUUAAAAGGUGCACUUGCAUCACUACCAGAUGGACCUGCGUUGUAUUAUCUAGUUGGUGGGGUAACGGCUUACCAAGGCGACGAUACAUAGCCGACCUGAGAGGGUGAUCGGCCAGACUGGGACGGAGACACGGCCCAGACUCCUACGGGAGGCAGCAGUAGGGAAGCUUCGGCAAUGGACGGAAGUCUGACCGAGCAACGCCGCGUGAGUGAAGAAGGUUUUCGGAUCGUAAAGCUCUGUUGUAAGAGAAGAACGAGUGUGAGAGUGGAAAGUUCACACUGUGACGGUAUCUUACCAGAAAGGGACGGCUAACUACGUG